UUGAUAACAUUUGAGUGAGUGGCGGACGGGUGAGUAACACGUGGGUAACCUGCCCUAAAGUGGGGGAUAACAUUUGGAAACAGAUGCUAAUACCGCAUAAAACCUAGCACCGCAGGGUGCAAGGUUGAAAGAUGGUUUCGGCUAUCACUUUAGGAUGGACCCGCGGUGCAUUAGUUAGUUGGUGAGGUAAAGGCUCACCAAGACCGUGAUGCAUAGCCGACCUGAGAGGGUAAUCGGCCACACUGGGACUGAGACACGGCCCAGACUCCUACGGGAGGCAGCAGUAGGGAAUCUUCCACAAUGGACGAAAGUCUGAUGGAGCAACGCCGCGUGAGUGAAGAAGGUUUUCGGAUCGUAAAACUCUGUUGUUGGAGAAGAACGUAUUUGAUAGUAACUGAUCAGGUAGUGACGGUAUCCAACCAGAAAGCCACGGCUAACUACGUGCCAGCAGCCGCGGUAAUACGUAGGUGGCAAGCGUUGUCCGGAUUUAUUGGGCGUAAAGCGAGCGCAGGCGGUUUCUUAAGUCUGAUGUGAAAGCCUUCGGCUCAACCGAAGAAGUGCAUCGGAAACUGGGAAACUUGAGUGCAGAAGAGGACAGUGGAACUCCAUGUGUAGCGGUGAAAUGCGUAGAUAUAUGGAAGAACACCAGUGGCGAAGGCGGCUGUCUGGUCUGUAACUGACGCUGAGGCUCGAAAGCAUGGGUAGCAAACAGGAUUAGAUACGCUGGUAGUCCAUGCCGUAAACGAUGAGUGCUAGGUGUUGGAGGGUUUCCGCCCUUCAGUGCCGCAGCUAACGCAUUAAGCACUCCGCCUGGGGAGUACGACCGCAAGGUUGAAACUCAAAGGAAUUGACGGGGGCCCGCACAAGCGGUGGAGCAUGUGGUUUAAUUCGAAGCAACGCGAAGAACCUUACCAGGUCUUGACAUCCUUUGACCACUCUAGAGAUAGAGCUUUCCCUUCGGGGACAAAGUGACAGGUGGUGCAUGGUUGUCGUCAGCUCGUGUCGUGAGAUGUUGGGUUAAGUCCCGCAACGAACCCCACCCUUAUUACUAGUUGCCAGCAUUUAGUUGGGCCCUCUAGUGAGACUGCCGGUGACAACCCGGAAGGAAGGGGGGGACAACUUCAAAUCAUCCUGCCCCUUAUGACCGGGCCACCC
This 1155-nucleotide ribosomal RNA is filed under the name Latilactobacillus curvatus. Its description in RNAcentral is "bacterial SSU rRNA". It matches the Rfam family "Bacterial small subunit ribosomal RNA", at positions 76 to 1219 of the family's 1533-position model. The record is from RNAcentral. Lineage: Bacteria; Bacillati; Bacillota; Bacilli; Lactobacillales; Lactobacillaceae.